This 75-nucleotide transfer RNA is filed under the name Clostridia bacterium. RNAcentral's name for it is "tRNA-Ile". It matches the Rfam family "tRNA". From Rfam's summary of the family: Transfer RNA (tRNA) molecules are approximately 80 nucleotides in length. Their secondary structure includes four short double-helical elements and three loops (D, anti-codon, and T loops). The record is from RNAcentral. Lineage: Bacteria; Bacillati; Bacillota; Clostridia.
GGGCCCGUAGCUCAACGGUAGAGCCGCCGGCUCAUAACCGGUAGGUUCCAGGUUCGAAUCCUGGCGGGCCCACCA